This 291-nucleotide unclassified non-coding RNA is filed under the name Hevea brasiliensis (rubber tree). Lineage: Eukaryota; Viridiplantae; Streptophyta; Magnoliopsida; Malpighiales; Euphorbiaceae. The record is from RNAcentral.
GGUUCAUGGCGCUCAUUGAUAGAGCGUUGACGCUAUGGUCGUACGACCAGUCUUUAGUGUUCGCGCUCGACGUCGCGAAGGCGCUUUCGCAACCGGUGGAAUACCUCAUGGCGCUCUGGCCGUGCGCAGAGCAACGCCGUCGAUGGGACAGCCUCCAAGGGAAGCUGAACAACUCUGUUUGCGCGGCUGCUGUUCCUAUUCCUCCCCCCACCGUCGCCAUUCCCCAACCGCCACCCGUGUCCGUGUAGGGCGGGUUCCUCCUACAUUUUCGCCCAUAAAAAGUUCAUGACG